Molecule: ribosomal RNA, 371 nt
Filed under: uncultured bacterium
Lineage: Bacteria
Description: bacterial SSU rRNA
Rfam family: Bacterial small subunit ribosomal RNA
Source: RNAcentral
UAAGGAAUAUUGGUCAAUGGACGCAAGUCUGAACCAGCCAUGCCGCGUGAAGGAUGAAGGUCCUCUGGAUUGUAAACUUCUUUUAUCUGGGACGAAAACGGGAUUUUUAUCUCAAUUGACGGUACCAGAGGAAUAAGCACCGGCUCACUCCGUGCCAGCAGCCGCGGUAAUACGGAGGGUGCGAGCGUUAUCCGGAUUUACUGGGUUUAAAGGGUGCGUAGGUGGGCUUAUAAGUCAGUGGUGAAAUCUCCGAGCUUAACUUUGAAGCUGCCGUUGAUACUAUAGGUCUUGAAUUAUCUGGGGGUAAGCGUAAUAUGUCAUGUAGCGGUGAAAUGCUUAGAUAUGACAUAGAACACCAAUUGCGAAGGCAG